CAAUAGCGUAUAUUUAAGUUGCUGCAGUUAAAAAGCUCGUAGUUGGAUUUCGGGUGGGAAUGGCCGGUCCGCCGUUUCGGUGUGCACUUGCUACGCCCACCUUGCUGCCGGGGACGUGCUCUUGAGUUCACGCUCGGGACACGGAGUCGGCGAGGUUACUUUGAUUAAAUUAGAGUGUUCAAAGCAGGCCUACGCUCUGAAUACAUUAGCAUGGAAUAACACGAUAGGACUCUGGCCUAUCUUGUUGGUCUGUAGGACCGGAGUAAUGAUUAAGAGGGACAGUCGGGGGCAUUCGUAUUUCAUUGUCAGAGGUGAAAUUCUUGGAUUUAUGAAAGACGAACUACUGCGAAAGCAUUUGCCAAGGAUGUUUUCAUUAA
RNAcentral lists this ribosomal RNA (377 nucleotides) under uncultured eukaryote. RNAcentral's name for it is "partial 18S ribosomal RNA". It matches the Rfam family "Eukaryotic small subunit ribosomal RNA", at positions 592 to 976 of the family's 1831-position model. The record is from RNAcentral.